UGUAAUCCCAGCACUUUGGGAGGCCGAGG
RNAcentral lists this non-coding RNA (29 nucleotides) under Homo sapiens (human). The record is from RNAcentral. Lineage: Eukaryota; Metazoa; Chordata; Mammalia; Primates; Hominidae. RNAcentral also lists the same sequence under 2 other names.